RNAcentral lists this ribosomal RNA (460 nucleotides) under uncultured bacterium. RNAcentral describes it as "partial 16S ribosomal RNA". It matches the Rfam family "Bacterial small subunit ribosomal RNA", at positions 338 to 795 of the family's 1533-position model. The record is from RNAcentral.
CCUACGGGCGGCAGCAGUGAGGAAUAUUGGUCAAUGGGCUUACGCCUGAACCAGCCAAGUCGCGUGAGGGAAGACUGCCCUAUGGGUUGUAAACCUCUUUUGUCAGGGAGCAACGCCGGCUACGUGUAGCCGGACUGAGAGUACCUGAAGAAAAAGCAUCGGCUAACUCCGUGCCAGCAGCCGCGGUAAUACGGAGGAUGCGAGCGUUAUCCGGAUUUAUUGGGUUUAAAGGGUGCGUAGGCGGAAUGCCAAGUCAGCGGUAAAAUCGCGGGGCUCAACCUCGCUCCGCCGUUGAAACUGGCGUUCUUGAGUGCACACAGGGAUGCCGGAAUUCAUGGUGUAGCGGUGAAAUGCUUAGAUAUCAUGAAGAACUCCGAUCGCGAAGGCAAGUGUCCGGGGUGCAACUGACGCUGAGGCUCGAAAGUGCGGGUAUCAAACAGGAUUAGAUACCCUAGUAGUC